Molecule: non-coding RNA, 2610 nt
Organism: Callorhinus ursinus (northern fur seal)
Lineage: Eukaryota; Metazoa; Chordata; Mammalia; Carnivora; Otariidae
Source: RefSeq, a predicted model, not a curated record
GUCCGGCCGGAAACUCAACCCGUGCAGCGGCAGCGUUCCGGCUGAGGCUCGGCGGGAGAGUGGAGGGCAGUGGUUGCUGUGGCGAUGGGGGCGGUGGACGUAGGGUUGGUGGACUGUCACUGCCACCUCUCGGCCCCGGACUUUGACAGCGAUCUGGAUGAUGUGUUGGAGAAAGCCAAGAAAGCCAAUGUUAUGGCUCUUGUGGUGGUUGCUGAACAUUCAGGAGAAUUUGAAAAGAUUAUGCAGCUUUCAGAAAGGUAUAAGGGGUUUGUCCUGCCAUGCUUGGGUGUUCACCCUAUUCAAGGAGUUUCACCAGGAGAUCAAAGAAGUGUCACAUUAAAGGAUUUGGAUGUAGCUUUGCCCAUUAUGGAGAAUUAUAAAGAUCAGUUGUUGGCAGUUGGAGAGGUGGGACUAGAUUUCUCCCCCAGAUUUGCUGGCACUGAUGAGCAGAAGGAAGAGCAACGACAAGUCCUGAUCCGACAGGUCCAGUUAGCCAAAAGAUUAAAUUUGCCUUUAAAUGUUCACUCACGCUCUGCUGGAAGACCCACCAUCAGCCUCUUGAAUGAGCAAGGUGCUGACAAAGUGCUCCUGCAUGCAUUUGAUGGUCGGCCAUCUGUAGCGAUGGAAGGAGUAAGAGCUGGGUACUUCUUCUCAAUUCCUCCUUCUAUCAUAAGAAGUGGACAGAAGCAGAAACUUGUGAAACAGUUGCCUUUAACUUCAAUUUGCUUAGAAACAGAUUCACCUGCACUAGGACCAGAAAAACAGGUACGAAAUGAACCCCAAAACAUUUCCAUUUCAGCAGAAUAUAUUGCCCAGGUGAAGGGGAUCUCAGUAGAAGAAGUUAUAGAAGUGACAACACAGAAUGCAUUGAGACUGUUUCCCAAGCUUUGGCAUCUGCUCCAGAAGUAGCUUCAAAACCAGAUGCCACAGGGGACAGCACUUGAGAGAAAGAAAUGUUCUGAGUAGGAGUCUGAACUGAAGUUCGAAGCCAUUAUAUAAGGAUAUGGAAGAUUAUGAUUUUAGAGAAAUAGUUCUCCUAAAACCAGGCUUGGGUCCUGAAACCCUGGAUUCUGAUUCUACCUUGUGCUUCUUUAUAAUUAAUGGAGUCCUAGCAGGAGAUUGAGAAACACCACUGCCUCUUACCUUACACCAUUAAGUGGAACCCACCAUAUGACCUGAAACCAUUUCUUCUGGCAAGGGAGGCUUCCCCAGAUUAUUCUGCAACAACAAAUGUGCCAUGGGAAACUCUAGGUUUGUGAGCCAUCGCCCAAGGGCACAGUUACUGGUCUCGAGAGGAAUGAGGGGCUGAAAUCAAAUUGGGACAUGACUAAAGGAAAAGAAAAGAAAACAAGGAGCAGUGGUUGAGUAUUUGAUAAUUCAAUGUUUGGGGCCACUUUAUAGAACAUAACUACUGCAAUAACAAGAAUCAACUGUGUACAUAUAGAAAAUAUGCUACUGUUUCUACAGAAAUGCCUCUUAUUCAAUACCUGAUUAUUUGCAUAAUACAGGCCUAACUUUGGGAGUCUAUCUGCAAAAUGACCUACUGAAAGGAAUUUACUGAACUGACCUAUUGUUAGGACCAAGAACCUAGUUCGAUGAGAUGAAACAAUCUACCAGUUCGACUUCUGGACGAUGAACCUUCUUGGGGAAAUUUCAAAGGCAGGACUGUAGGGAAGUGAAAUCUGCCACCCCAAAAUGUGUCUCUUUAGCUCAACAAGGAGGAAUUUGUAAUCAUGGGUGAAAAAUGUCACUUCUAUGUCUAACUUCAACCUGUUAAAAGAAAAGAUUAGUAAUUUUCAUCAGAUAAAUUAAAUUUACCCACUAUAUGGGACUGACCUAUUCCCAGGAGUAGGAGACUGGUCUAACGGGGUGUGGGGUAAUGGGCUUCAAUUUGUUCUUUUCUGUUUGUUUAUCCUCAUUCUAUUUGUUGUUUUCUCCCUUUAUGGAUCUCUUGCCACUCAGCUACUAACUUUCCACACCCACCAGCUCAGCUUUCAAUAUGUGAAACUUACUGAGAAAGCCUCAGAGGAAGAAACUGUUGAGGUUUAGGGCAGGCCACCCAGGAUGUGCUGCUUUGGCAUGCGGAUUAUUUUGAAAUCAAGGCCCAAAAGGCACAGGAAGAACCUUUGACCUUCCCCCUGUCAACCUCACAAAUAAAAUAGUCAGUUACUUUAUUUGGGAAUGGCAGAGGAAUUGCAAUUCAGGACAAGCAAGCUAUGGUGAGCCACAGGCAAGUCCAAAGAGACAAAGGGAAGGUUAGCUUUUAUUAAGUUUUAGAAGGAAAUUGGGGAGGGUUAUUUUGAACAAAAGUUCAUUGGAGAAGAACAAGAGUUUGGGGUUGUGGAGGGCUCUCAUUGGCUGUAAACAGUGACUAACGCAUUGUUGCUGGGGCACAGAGGGCUCUUUCUUAUUUUUCUUAAGAGCAGGAGAUAAAUACCUAGGUAGAAAAUGUCCUCCCUUGUCAAGAUAAUUCUUAUCUUCUUUUUCCCUACUGGUUAUUCAGGCUGCAAGGAUGUGUGAGAGCUCCCCACCCUUCCCCCACCCCCAUCAGGGCUUUGAGACUCCAUUUGAAAUGAGGUUUCCUUUACUCAUUUUCACACCCCUAACUUU